AGAGUUUGAUCCUGGCUCAGGAUGAACGCUAGCUACAGGCUUAACACAUGCAAGUCGAGGGGCAGCAUGAACUUAGCUUGCUAAGUUUGAUGGCGACCGGCGCACGGGUGAGUAACACGUAUCCAACCUGCCGAUGACUCGGGGAUAGCCUUUCGAAAGAAAGAUUAAUACCCGAUGGCAUAAUUCUUCCGCAUGGUAGAACUAUUAAAGAAUUUCGGUCAUCGAUGGGGAUGCGUUCCAUUAGGUUGUUGGCGGGGUAACGGCCCACCAAGCCUUCGAUGGAUAGGGGUUCUGAGAGGAAGGUCCCCCACAUUGGAACUGAGACACGGUCCAAACUCCUACGGGAGGCAGCAGUGAGGAAUAUUGGUCAAUGGACGAGAGUCUGAACCAGCCAAGUAGCGUGAAGGAUGACUGCCCUAUGGGUUGUAAACUUCUUUUAUACGGGAAUAAAGUGAGGCACGUGUGCCUUUUUGUAUGUACCGUAUGAAUAAGGAUCGGCUGACUCCGUGCCAGCAGCCGCGGUAAUACGGAGGAUCCGAGCGUUAUCCGGAUUUAUUGGGUUUAAAGGGAGCGUAGGCGGACGCUUAAGUCAGUUGUGAAAGUUUGCGGCUCAACCGUAAAAUUGCAGUUGAUACUGGGUGUCUUGAGUACAGUAGAGGCAGGCGGAAUUCGUGGUGUAGCGGUGAAAUGCUUAGAUAUCACGAAGAACUCCGAUUGCGAAGGCAGCUUGCUGGACUGUAACUGACGCUGAUGCUCGAAAGUGUGGGUAUCAAACAGGAUUAGAUACCCUGGUAGUCCACACAGUAAACGAUGAAUACUCGCUGUUUGCGAUAUAC
RNAcentral lists this ribosomal RNA (836 nucleotides) under uncultured bacterium. RNAcentral's name for it is "bacterial SSU rRNA". It matches the Rfam family "Bacterial small subunit ribosomal RNA", at positions 8 to 834 of the family's 1533-position model. The record is from RNAcentral.